RNAcentral lists this ribosomal RNA (253 nucleotides) under uncultured bacterium. Its description in RNAcentral is "partial 16S ribosomal RNA". It matches the Rfam family "Bacterial small subunit ribosomal RNA", at positions 524 to 776 of the family's 1533-position model. The record is from RNAcentral.
UACGAGGGGGGCAAAUGUUGUUCGGAAUUACUGGGCGUAAAGCGCACGUAGGCGGUUAUUCAAGUCAGAGGUGAAAGCCCGGGGCUCAACCCCGGAACUGCCUUUGAAACUAGAUGACUGGAAUCUUGGAGAGGUCAGUGGAAUUCCGAGUGUAGAGGUGAAAUUCGUAGAUAUUCGGAAGAACACCAGUGGCGAAGGCGGCCCACUGGUCCGGUACUGACGCUGAGGUGCGAAAGCGUGGGGAGCAAACAGG